Molecule: ribosomal RNA, 253 nt
Filed under: uncultured bacterium
Lineage: Bacteria
Description: partial 16S ribosomal RNA
Rfam family: Bacterial small subunit ribosomal RNA
Source: RNAcentral
UACGUAGGGGGCAAGCGUUGUCCGGAUUUAUUGGGCGUAAAGAGCGUGUAGGCGGCCAUACAGGUCAGCUGUGAAAACUCGAGGCUCAACCUCGAGACGUCGGUUGAAACCGUAUGGCUAGAGUCCGGAAGAGGAGAGUGGAAUUCCCGGUGUAGCGGUGGAAUGCGCAGAUAUCGGGAAGAACACCCGUGGCGAAGGCGGCUCUCUGGGACGGUACUGACGCUGAGACGCGAAAGCGUGGGGAGCGAACAGG